UUCAGGGGUCGUAUCGGUGGAGGAGCCAGACGGCAGAGCGGAAGUGAGAGACGAGGGAACGGAGUCGUCGCCGCACCGCCGAGCGGUGGAAGAGAGCGGGCUAGGGUUUCGAAUGGGUUUCGUAGACGGUGAAGGAGGAUAGGAUCUUGAUGUGCUGGUCUCAAUCACGGUACCUUGAACCAUAGGAGGUUCUUGUUUCUUUGUUACUUUUAUUUUCAGUAUUUUCAUUUCAAUUCCAUUGCAGCUUAUAUUGUUUUAGCAAGGGGUUUGAUCGAUUGCGGGAGGGUUAUCAUUUCUUGGUUUACUUCUUUUAUUUCUCGAUUUGCGAUCUUGAUCUUGACUGGAUGGGAGGUCGUCAUGAUGUAAGGGGCAUAGUGAAUCAAUCAAAUACAUUUUUUAUCAAUCAAAUACAUUUUUUUUUACUUCAUCGUGAUUUAUACUCUGCUUGUGGAUAUACGACGAGUGCUGGUAUCUAGACUAAUAUGGAGGAAAAUCUUUAGCCGAGUAGGGAGCUCUGUUAACCCUACAAUUGCAGGACCCAGAGACGGUGAAAUUAAUGGAAGGAUAAUUUCAGGUGAAAAUGUAAUCCGUUCUGAUCCUUUUUCAAAUAAAAAGUCUGAAGUCAAUAGAUUUUGAUAAUAUGACAUCUUUUCAGUGCCUGUUACUCUUUAUGCUUUCAUGUCUUGAAAAGGUGAGGCUUGCAACUAGAGUAAAUUUCAGUACUACUGUUAUUUUGGUUAUAGAAAUUCUUCCUUUUUUUUCUUUCUUGUAACAUAUUGAUCAAUUGUCUUGUUCUAUGAUGGAUCUAUCUGUAUAAGCUUUGUUUGCUGGUGGUCUUCAUGCAGUAUAUAGUACUGAUCUAAAUGAUUCUUGAGAUGUCCCACAUAACAAUCUCUUCGGGAAUUUUGAUGCAUUUUUUACAGCUUGAUUUGAUACUUUGCUGGCGAUUUUGUCUUGGACUGGAGCUCAAUAUUACCAAGUUCGGCUACUGCUGUGCUGGUGGUCCGGAUUGGUUGUUGAUCUCGUAGUUCUUACUCUUUCACAUCCUUGAGGAAACCUCUCUCUCUCUCUCUAUAUAUAUAUAUAGAUAUAUCUUUGACAUAGAUUAAAUCUUUUGUUGUUCUACUAAUCACAAUGCUGGAAGGUUGCAUGGAAUUGUUAUAUUGCAUGUUCUUUCUUUCUUUCUUUCCUUAAAGUGCUUGAUAAAAUUCUUAUUUUCUGUGAAAUAUUAUUAUGAUAUUUACUGAUGUUUGUGAUGAUUUCAGUGUUGGAAUGCCUGAGUAGAAUUAUUACCUGCAGUUUCUUUCUCUCUUUCUGGCUUUCUGUUCUCUGCUUCAUGCACUUCUAAUUCUUUUUUGGAAAAAAUGAUUUUGUUAUGUUUAAGAUGUGUUUAGUGAUUUCAAUAUUGGAGGACUUAUUUCACACACAAAAAGUUUGAAUGCUUGGAUGGAGCAUCUGGACGAGGCUUCUUGGUUAUGGUUAGUGGAAAUUGAGAGUGGAUUGAAAUCUAUAAUUAGUUUUCUGCUUGUGCAGUGAAGAUAAUAUUUGUCUUACGUUGCUUCACAUCACGCUUCUUUCUCAAGAACAGGUGUGAUUCUGUUCAUUUUUUGAUUGGAUUUUCUCUCAAGUUUCUAUUGAUCUGUUAGCUUUUUUUUUAUAUAAUUCCCAAUUAUCUGUCUUCUUCAAUAUGUAAUUGUUAAUAGAGUCAAGCUGCUUGCGAUAACAUUGCUAAUGGUCAUAUUUAUUUGUAUGCUAUCAAGCAUCAGAUUACAAAAGUUUCCACUGACAACACAAUAGCUAUCAGCAGGUUUGAUGUGCUGAUUAAUUGUUUAUUUAAUAUUUGUAGUGCUUGAUCUGCAUUUAUUAGUCUGAUUACUUCUUAUUUACUUUGUAUAUAGAUUUGUUUUCCUGAUACAUUUGAGCUUGCAUUGGUUAUAUUGGGCUGGAAAUUGGAAUCUUGUAGGAGAAUGGCUAAUAUAAGGAAGAAGUGCGUUUAGAUCAUUAUUUGCAGCCCCUAAUAUUUUUUCGUGAAAUUGCAUACAAAAGAAGUUUUCCAUUAUGUUAAUUUUUGGUUUUUCAUUACUUGCUGCUUUAAUUAUAAGGUAUGGCUGACUUUGCUUGUGAUCUCGAAAUGAUAAUUGAAGGGAUUAAAACCUAUUUGCUUUGUAGUUAGAUGCAGUUGUUCUUGCUCAACAACUUCAAAAGUGAUCUUUGACCAAGGUUCCUCGGAUCUUUGUUUCAAGUACUGCUAUGCUACUAAUGCUGUUACCUGUGCUAGCUUAUAGUUGCUUUAACCAUGUUUUGUUCUUAGAAUUCUAGCUUAUAUUCUGCUUGGUUUCGACAACUAGUUACAACAUUCUCUUUGAAAUUUUGAACAUAUUGAUCUUUGUUCUUUCAGUCAUUUACUAAUCAAUAUCUGAACAUAAUUAUGUUGUUGAUUGUUGGGUGUUCUCUAUUUGCCAUGCUUCUUCAUGGCACAUCGACUUGGUAAGAUGCAGUUAUUAACUUUUGUCUGACAAUUAGUAAUAGAUUAUGGAAGGUCUUCUUCUAAAAAAGUAUUUUUCAGAUUGAGCAAUUGAUGAAUUUCCAAGUCUGGCUAAAAUAUGAGAGACUGAUUGGCGGGGCAAAUCUGUCUUUCUCAAUGUCCAAUAUUCAUGUCUAAUAUGUUUCCCAGAAAUGGGCAUCACCAGGACAGGUGUAUCACCAAAUAUAGAUAUCUGUAAUUGGCCAAAAAUUGUUGAGGAGAAUAAAUGGGGUAUGUUCUCGGGGUAUUGACAAGACCCUCAUGUCUAAUCAGAUUGGACAUUGCUGAAUGGAAGGUAAUUUAAGGUAUGGUGCUCUAGAUUAUGCUUACAUACUAUAUUGUAGAAAGAAUAUGUGACUUGUUUUGACCCUGUCAUUGUUUUAUAAUUUUCAGUUGACACUCAUUGUUUUAUAAUUUUCAGCAAUUAGGAACUGCAUUAUGUUUUUUCUCCCUGGAUCUGCGGAAGUUGGCGUGUUCAAAUUUUUUAACACUAUACAUUAGGGAUAUUUGCCUAUUAAGAAUUUUUGGGGCUGUAGAAUAGUGAUAUAGACAUUGUAAUACCUCUAUAUAUAUAUAUCCCUAUAUAAUCAUCCAUGUCAAUUGUUAUUAUGUUAAAUUGUUUGUCUUUAAUUUAUGCUAUCAUUCAACUUGUCCAUGAUUUUUGGACGAAUCAUUUGUUUCAAAGAGCUUGUUAUGCUAGCAAUGGGUCAGAUUUAGGUCUGAUCAUUAUUGGAUCCAAAAACAAACUUAAAAUCCAGAUCUAGAUCCAUUACCUAGAAGGAUCGGUGGCUCCUUUACAAGCUCCAAUUAUUGUAUUGGGACCUCCUAAGAUGUUACCCUGCUUGAAGGGGAUUUUUGCUUUAUGAGCCACCAGGUUCUGGCAAGAUCCUCAUGACUUUGUCAGAUUGGGAAAUUAUUGUAUGGAAGGAAAUUAAAAAGGUAUGGUACUCAGAAUCAUUCUUCCAUACUAAAUUGUAAAAGGAAUGCCUGAAUUUUUUACAUUGUUAUCCUUUUAUUAUUUUCAACAAUAUGGAAAUGCAUUAUGUAUUUUUGCCCUGGAUCAGUGGAAUGGACAUUAGUAAAUGUUUCUAGACUUCAUUUCAGCAAGAAGUUGGCAUGUUUGAAGUGUUGAACACUAUAGAUGGGGGAAAAGUGCCUGUUAAAAAUUUUAGUGAUGGUAGAAUAGUGAUAUAGAUCAUAAUACUAGAAUAUAUCACUAUCUAAUCUUCUAUUCCAGUUGCUGUGAUAUAAAUUGUUUAUCUUUAAUUUAUGCAAUCGAUUAACUUGUCCAUGGUUUUUAGAUGAUUCAUUUGAUUCAGAUUUUGGAAGCUUAUGUUAGCUCUAGCGGUGCGUAAAAUUUAGGUUUGGUCCUUCUUCUAUCCAGAUCUAGAUCCAAUUCAAGGUUGGUUGUCCCUUUACAGGUUGUGAUCUUUGAAUUUGGACCACCUAAAAUGUUACUGUGCUUGAAUUUUUUUCCCCUUCUUUUAUCCUUUUCUCUUUACUUUUUAAUCCCAUUAUUACUGACAAAUUUGGUUACCAUUCUUACCUGAGAUAAAAUUAUAUUUAAUUUUGAAUCACACACACAUACGUGGAAAGAUAUAUAGAAAGAGAAUGCUUAUUGUGAUCCACAUAAUAGGUCUUAGUUAGAAAAUCUCAUUGUUUGAAACUGCAAAGAAUUAAAGGAUGUGGAUUGUCAGGUUAGUCAUUUCCUUUCGGGUAAUCUUUAAGAGAAAAUAGUCACAAGCUGUUAUUUGCUUGCUUACCAGUUGGAACUGUCUCAUAUUAACUGUUACUAUACCAUCAUUGUGUCUUAUUUUGGAUAAAAUUCUCUAGUUGUUUAUGGGCUUGAAGUCUUGAGUAAUUCGGUAAGACAACAGAAAAAGAGAGAUUUAUUUUCUGAUGCUGAGAAAGACCAGAAGGACUCGAGAUGUUCAGCCUUCAUGAUCUCUUUUCUAAGCUGUGUAUGUUACUAGCCCUGAAACCGAAACCCUAAACCGCAUUUUUGAUUAUUUUACGUGUUUAUGUUUUCAGGUGAUCAAAGAUGGUACAUGUUAUAAUUUUUGAGAAGUUGAUGCUAUAAGUGAAGGUAGAAACUAUA
Phoenix dactylifera (date palm) is the source of this 4622-nucleotide long non-coding RNA. RefSeq lists it as uncharacterized. The record is from RefSeq and is a predicted model, not a curated record. Lineage: Eukaryota; Viridiplantae; Streptophyta; Magnoliopsida; Arecales; Arecaceae.